RNAcentral lists this ribosomal RNA (498 nucleotides) under uncultured bacterium. Its description in RNAcentral is "partial 16S ribosomal RNA". It matches the Rfam family "Bacterial small subunit ribosomal RNA", at positions 28 to 506 of the family's 1533-position model. The record is from RNAcentral.
GACGAACGCUGGCGGCGUGCCUAAUACAUGCAAGUCGAGCGAAGUUUUUCUGGUGCUUGCACUAGAAAAACUUAGCGGCGAACGGGUGAGUAACACGUAAAAACCCUCCUCCUUAAAUGGGAACAACAUUGGAAACGAUAACUUAAACCCGAUUAACAUAAUUCCUGGCUGUGGGAAAAUUUAAAAGUUGUUAUUCCUACACUAAUAGAAUGCUUUUGCGGUCCAUUAGCUAGUUGGUGGGGUAAAGGCCCACCAAGCCGACGAUGCAUAGCCGACCUGAGAGGGUGAUCGGCCACACUGGGACUGAGACACGGCCCAGACGCCUACGGGAGGCAGCAGUAGGGAAUCUUCCGCAAUGGGCGAAAGCCUGACGGAGCAACGCAGCGUGAGUGAAGAAGGAUUUCGGUUCGUAAAGCUCUGUUGUUAGGGAAGAAUGGAUAUGUAGUAACUAUACAUGUAAGAGACGGUACCUAACCAGAAAGCCACGGCUAACUACGG